UACAGAGGGGGCAAGCGUUGUUCGGAAUUACUGGGCGUAAAGGGCGCGUAGGCGGCCCGCUAAGUCGAACGUGAAAUCCCCGGGCUCAACCCGGGAACUGCGUCCGAUACUGGUGGGCUUGAAUCCGGGAGAGGGAUGCGGAAUUCCAGGUGUAGCGGUGAAAUGCGUAGAUAUCUGGAGGAACACCGGUGGCGAAGGCGGCAUCCUGGACCGGUAUUGACGCUGAGGCGCGAAAGCCAGGGGAGCAAACGGGG
This 254-nucleotide ribosomal RNA is filed under the name uncultured bacterium. RNAcentral's name for it is "partial 16S ribosomal RNA". It matches the Rfam family "Bacterial small subunit ribosomal RNA", at positions 524 to 777 of the family's 1533-position model. The record is from RNAcentral.